CACUUAUCCAGAAAGGCGGAGGGUCUGGCCCUACGAUGCCUUAGCAACCUUUCCUGAAUUGCAAGUCAGGAAAAAGGUGCUAAUUCCUGCCCCGGUGUACCGGGGAAAGAUAAGUU
RNAcentral lists this non-coding RNA (116 nucleotides) under Chitinophaga jiangningensis. RNAcentral's name for it is "SAM-I sequence". It matches the Rfam family "SAM riboswitch aptamer (S box leader)". Rfam says of the family: The SAM riboswitch is found upstream of a number of genes which code for proteins involved in methionine or cysteine biosynthesis in Gram-positive bacteria. The SAM riboswitch acts at the level of transcription termination control. The record is from Rfam by way of RNAcentral. Lineage: Bacteria; Pseudomonadati; Bacteroidota; Chitinophagia; Chitinophagales; Chitinophagaceae.